This is a non-coding RNA of Gemmatimonadetes bacterium SCN 70-22, 73 nucleotides long. The record is from Rfam. Lineage: Bacteria; Pseudomonadati; Gemmatimonadota.
UCCCGAGUAGCUCAGGUGGUAGAGCGGGUGACUGUUAAUCACCAUGUCGGGGGUUCGAGUCCCUCCUCGGGAG